ACAAAAUUAAACAACUACCUGCUGAAAUUGGUGAAUUAUGUAACCUCAUUACGCUGGAUGUAGCUCACAAUCAACUUGAACACCUUCCAAAGGAGAUUGGAAACUGUACGCAGAUAACCAACCUUGACUUGCAGCACAAUGAACUGCUAGACCUCCCAGAUACUAUAGGUAUGAAAGGAGAAAGAAGAUAUUGAUAGCUGUUAAUAGCUAACUGGAUAUUAAUAGGACUAUUUUUGAUCCAUUUGGUAAUGAAAAUUCAGGAGUAAAAUUAACAAUUACCAAAGUUGUAAAACUUUUAAGAUAAUACUUUAAAAUCAUUUUUCGU
RNAcentral lists this small RNA (325 nucleotides) under Pongo abelii (Sumatran orangutan). RNAcentral describes it as "processed transcript". The record is from RNAcentral. Lineage: Eukaryota; Metazoa; Chordata; Mammalia; Primates; Hominidae.